RNAcentral lists this ribosomal RNA (275 nucleotides) under uncultured prokaryote. RNAcentral describes it as "partial 16S ribosomal RNA". It matches the Rfam family "Bacterial small subunit ribosomal RNA", at positions 524 to 798 of the family's 1533-position model. The record is from RNAcentral.
UACGGAGGAUCCGAGCGUUAUCCGGAUUUAUUGGGUUUAAAGGGUGCGCAGGCGGGAGAUUAAGUCGGCGGUGAAAUUUUGCAGCUCAACUGUAAAAGUGCCUUCGAAACUGGUUUCCUUGAGUGUGGAUGAAGUAGGCGGAAUUUGUGGUGUAGCGGUGAAAUGCAUAGAUAUCACGAGGAACUCCGAUUGCGCAGGCAGCUUACUAAACUACUACUGACGCUCAGGCACGAAGGCGUGGGGAUCAAACAGGAUUAGAUACCCCCGUAGUCCCU